AAUCAACGCUGGCGGCGUGCCUAACACAUGCAAGUCGAACGAGAAGGUGACUUCGGUCACUGGAUAGUGGCGUCCGGGUGAGUAACACGUAGGUAAUCUACCUUCGGGUGGGGAAUAACGUCUCGAAAGAGACGCUAAUACCGCAUAAUGCAGCGGCACCUAAUGGUGAUUAGUUGUUAAAGCGGGGGAUCUUCGGACCUCGCGCCUGAAGAGGAGCCUGCGGCAGAUUAGCUAGUUGGUGAGGUAAUGGCUCACCAAGGCUUCGAUCUGUAGCUGGUCUGAGAGGACGGCCAGCCACACUGGCACUGACACACGGGCCAGACUCCUACGGGAGGCAGCAGUGGGGAAUUUUGGGCAAUGGGCGAAAGCCUGACCCAGCAACGCCGCGUGAAGGAGGAAAUCCUUCGGGAUAGUAAACUUCAUAAGUAAGGGAAGAAAGCUGCGGAUCGAAUAAGUCCGCAGUCUGACGGUACCUUACGUAAGCCACGGCUAACUACGUGCC
Molecule: ribosomal RNA, 502 nt
Filed under: uncultured bacterium
Lineage: Bacteria
Description: bacterial SSU rRNA
Rfam family: Bacterial small subunit ribosomal RNA
Source: RNAcentral